Long non-coding RNA from Pezoporus flaviventris, 927 nucleotides. RefSeq lists it as uncharacterized. The record is from RefSeq and is a predicted model, not a curated record. The transcript has 3 exons. NCBI's taxonomy places the organism in Eukaryota, Metazoa, Chordata, Aves, Psittaciformes, Psittacidae.
AUAAUGAGUGCCUUCAUCAGUCCUUAGAAAACGAGCACUCAGAUCUGAUUCCUAAAACUACCAUCACAUAGAAACAUCCUGUUCUUGAGCAAAAGCAGACAGAACAUAGAAAUUCCAAAACUCCUUCAACAGGUAACAUCAUCUACCUACCUAGAUACCCACAGCCAAGGUGCAGAGACCACUCUGAGGGUAUUUGAAGGUACUUGAACACAUUUCAUCACUCAGGCAAGUCUGGGAAUACAGUAUCUUUGGCAUCCUCACAGAACUCAAAUGACUGGAAAGAAGUACUGACAAGUAUGCCUGCAGAUUUAAGCAGGGAAGCAGAAAUCUUAACUUGGAUCCUCUUCAAUAGAGAUAAGGAACCUAAAGCAGUUGAACAGCUGAAGCUUUCCUGUGCCCAAUGGGAAAGGAAGCUGUAAAUUCUGGGAACUGGGACUCAGCUCCCACACAGCUGUAGGUGAGGUUGGGACCUCUUGGUGCCCAGUGCCAGCAGAGAGGAGAAACCACUCAAAAAGCAGUCCAAAAAGUCAGGGUUUAGCAUCAUUGUACAGCUGAAACCAGAACCUAUGUCAGGAAGUGUCCACAUCUACAUAGCAGUGGAAUUACUGAUUCAAAUAAUUAGAUGGAAUCAGAUUUACAAAUAACAAAUGAAGGUUUAAAAUAAUGUCAUAAGGGGGUUUAUGUCCUUAAUAUAACUAAAAUAUGCGCCUUUAAGUAAGUGACAAAACAAGACAGACAAAGAAAAUGGCAAAAUCCUGAACUACCGUUCACGUUACUUUCUCCAGUCUUUCCAUAAAUACCCCUAAUCAAGUAUAUCAAAGUCACAUGAACUUCACCAAUCUCCCUUUGGUACAAGAAGUAACAGACCUUUCAAAGCAAGCAGAAACCAGACUUUCAAGUGCAUUAAAUACACGUGCAGAGGACACG